CUGGCCUGGGCUGCAGAGCUGCUGCUCGGGGUGUGGGUGCCAAGACCCACAAUGAGCCCCUUGCCACCAUCACUCUCACCACGCCUCAAGGCACACCUCAAUCCCAUGGGGAGGGAAGGGCACUCAGGGGGAACACGUCCUUUUCUCCAUCUCACUUGGCUUCCUCCCAUCUUUCUCCACUCCAUCUCCCAGCAGCUCAAGGUCCAUUUUCAUCAGGCACUGACAGUCACCAGGAGAAGCAGUCUCAGCACCGGCGGGCACCACGCGCAGCCAACCCGUGCCCCCCACCCUCUGUCACCAGCACACAGGUGACAGCAGCCACAUCCGCACAGCCACCACGGCGCUGCUCACCCACCUGGGGCACACACGCUGCCACCGUGGCAAAGGCAGCUGUGGGGUGGGAGCGCUCCACAAAGUCCCAGCACACACAGCAGGGAACCACUUCUGCACCAUCAAGGAGGCUCUGGUGAUGCCCAGGAGCUGGGGCAGCUGGAGAUGAGCUGGGAGAGCUCCUGGAAGGUGCUGGCACCACCAGCGAUGCCCUCCUCAGCUCGCACAGGGCCCGAGGAGCACUCUCCCAUGCAAAACCCCAACUGUGGGGUUUGCUCCUCCACACCAUCACUUUGGGAGGUCACCUGAGGGCAGCCAGCACGGGCACUGCUGGCAGCCAAGGGGAAAGCGGGCAGGGCCAGUGGCCACAAGAGCUUUCAGCAAGCCAAAAUCUGCUCACAUCUAAGGGAUGGCACCGCUCCCCAUCAACGGCAGUGGGGAACAAACAAGCACCCCAACAGCAUCCCACUCUGACGUCAGUGAGAACCUCCGGCAGGUCUGCAACGUCAGCCACGACACUUCCAGCGGCCGGAGAGCCCCCGGGAUGCCACCCCUGGGGCAGCUCAGCCCCUCCUCUGGGACCCCUGGGGCAGCUCAGCCCCUCCACUGGGACCCCAGCGCCACGCUCAAGGUAUCCGGUGUAAGCCCUCGCUGCAGGGUGGUGGCAGCUGGUUAUUCAUGAGUGUCUUGGAUGUGCCACCGGCCACCAGCACCUGCUGUGCACCCAGAGGGGUGGCACCCAGGACCCCUCCGUGCCUGUGUCCCCAGUGCUGACACCCA
Molecule: non-coding RNA, 1110 nt
Organism: Zonotrichia albicollis (white-throated sparrow)
Lineage: Eukaryota; Metazoa; Chordata; Aves; Passeriformes; Passerellidae
Source: RefSeq, a predicted model, not a curated record